RNAcentral lists this ribosomal RNA (243 nucleotides) under uncultured bacterium. RNAcentral's name for it is "partial 16S ribosomal RNA". It matches the Rfam family "Bacterial small subunit ribosomal RNA", at positions 113 to 354 of the family's 1533-position model. The record is from RNAcentral.
CAACGUGGGCAACCUGCCUCAUAGAGGGGAAUAGCCUUCCGAAAGGGAGAUUAAUACCGCAUAAGAUUGUAGCUUCGCAUGAAGUAGCAAUUAAAGGAGCAAUCCGCUAUGAGAUGGGCCCGCGGCGCAUUAGCUAGUUGGUGAGGUAACGGCUCACCAAGGCGACGAUGCGUAGCCGACCUGAGAGGGUGAUCGGCCACAUUGGGACUGAGACACGGCCCAGACUCCUACGGAAGGCAGCAG